RNAcentral lists this long non-coding RNA (1712 nucleotides) under Drosophila guanche. Lineage: Eukaryota; Metazoa; Arthropoda; Insecta; Diptera; Drosophilidae. The record is from RNAcentral.
CGUCGGGUUCUCUUGGGGUGUGUAUGGCGCGGUGAAUUGCUGUCUGACCCCCAUUUCCCCCAAGAACUUCUUGAACACGCGGCUUGUAAAUUGGACUCCGUUAUCGGUGAUCAUCACCUUUGGCACUCCAAAUCGAGCCAAGAUUCUUUCGCGGACUGCCUUCACCAGCGCUUCCGCAGUGGCUUUCCUCAACGGUACCAAUUCGGUCCAUUUGGAGAAACGAUCCACUAACACCAACAGCAUUGCGUUCCCAUGCUUCGAUCUCGGCAGCGGUCCCACGAAGUCCGCACACACUGUUGCCCAUGGCUCUUCUGGGACCUGGGUCAACAUUUUCCCAGCUGCCCGUACCUGGCAUGGUUUGAAACGCAGGCAGNUCGAUCCGCUGAGUGUUGGUGCUAACGGUGCCGGCUCGGUGUUUGUCGUCUCGCGUACAUUGAUUCGCUGAGCGUUGGUGCCGACGGUGCCGGCUCGGUGUUUUGUCGCCUCGCGUACAUUGAUCCGCUGAGCGUUGGUGCUAACGGUGCCGGCUCGGUGUUUUUCGCCUCGCAUACAUUGAUCCGCUGAGCGUUGGUGCCAACAGUGUCGGCUCGGUGUUUUGUCGCCUCGCGUACAUCGAUCCGCUGAGCGUUGGUGCUAACGGUGCCGGCUCGGUGUUUUGUCGCCUCGCGUACAUUGAUCCGCUGAGCGUUGGUGCUAACGGUGCCGGCUCGGUGUUUGUCGCCUCGCAUACAUUGAUCCGCUGAGCGUUGGUGCCAACAGUGCCGGCUCGGUGUUUGUCGCCUCGCGUACAUCGAUUAGCUGAGCGUUGGUGCCGAUGGUGCCGGCUCGGUGUUUUGUCGCCUCGCUUCGUUUAUUUGUUCGUGCGUGCGCCCGCUGGCCUUCAUGGACUGGUGAGUGUGUCCUGCGCGGCACCCCUCCUUUACUUUUAUAAGUAUUUUAAGGUCAGCUUCAUCCUGCGUGAUGGCCUUUCCCUUCAUCCCUACUUCGGCUGGGGCUUCAGGUCUGCCAGGUGGGCCGUCCGAACAUGCCCAUCACUAUCUCUCUUCAUCUGGCAGAUCACUGGCGACUUAAAGUCGACCACCCGGUACGGCCCGGCAUACCUCGGCGCCAACUUGACCGCGAAUCCCUCCGCUGCGUUCGACAGAUGGUGCUGCCGCACCCAUAAGACCUCUCCUAUCUGUGGCUUCCACUCCCGUCUCCUCAGGUUGUAGUGCCUUGCCUGAUCUUGGGCCGCCCUCUCCAGAUUGCGUCGCACCAACUGGAAAAUUUCCCUCAAUUUCGAUGCAUUUUCCUCGGGCGUUCUCGGCCCCUGUCCUGUUCCUAGGGCUCCCUCGUCGUACAGCGCGUUUGGCAGUCGGAGCUCUCUUCCUUGUACGAUGUACGCUGGAGAAUAGCCCGUUGACUCUGCCACGCCUGUAUUCACAGCUAGCAUCAGCUCUGGCCAUUUCUCAUCCCAGCACCGCUGAUCACCCUCCGUGAACUGUGCGAUCAUCGUUUUCACCGUACGGUUUGUACGUUCCGUCGGGUUCUCUUGGGGUGUGUAUGGCGCGGUGAAUUGCUGUCUGACCCCCAUUUCCCCCAAGAACUUUUUGAACACGCGGCUUGUAAAUUGGACUCCGUUAUCGGUGAUCAUCACCUUUGGCACUCCAAAUCGAGCCAAGAUUCUUUCGCGGACUGCCUUCACCAGCGCUUCCGCAGUGGCUUUCCUCAAC